Molecule: ribosomal RNA, 253 nt
Filed under: uncultured bacterium
Lineage: Bacteria
Description: partial 16S ribosomal RNA
Rfam family: Bacterial small subunit ribosomal RNA
Source: RNAcentral
UACAGAGGGUGCGAGCGUUAAUCGGAUUUACUGGGCGUAAAGGGCGCGUAGGUGGUCAGAUAAGUGAGAUGUGAAAUCCCCGGGCUCAACCUGGGAACUGCAUCUUAUACUGUCUGGCUGGAGUACAUGAGAGGGUAGUGGAAUUUCCGGUGUAGCGGUGAAAUGCGUAGAUAUCGGAAGGAACACCAGUGGCGAAGGCGGCUACCUGGCAUGAUACUGACACUGAGGCGCGAGAGCGUGGGGAGCAAACAGG